Molecule: ribosomal RNA, 252 nt
Filed under: uncultured bacterium
Lineage: Bacteria
Description: partial 16S ribosomal RNA
Rfam family: Bacterial small subunit ribosomal RNA
Source: RNAcentral
UACGAAGGGGGCUAGCGUUGCUCGGAAUUACUGGGCGUAAAGCGCACGUAGGCGGUCUUUUAAGUCGGGGGUGAAAUCCUGGAGCUCAACUCCAGAACUGCCUUCGAUGCUGGAAGACUCGAGUCCGGGAGAGGUGAGUGAACUGCGAGUGUAGAGGUGAAAUUCGUAGAUAUUCGCAAGAACACCAGUGGCGAAGGCGGCUCACUGGCCCGGUACUGACGCUGAGGUGCGAAAGCGUGGGGAGCAAACAGG